Long non-coding RNA from Anguilla anguilla (European eel), 544 nucleotides. RefSeq lists it as uncharacterized. The transcript is spliced from 3 exons. NCBI's taxonomy places the organism in Eukaryota, Metazoa, Chordata, Actinopteri, Anguilliformes, Anguillidae. The record is from RefSeq and is a predicted model, not a curated record.
UAUGAAGAGACAUCCUGACAGUUACACUGCAGCUCUGUCAGAAUUCACCUUUGUGUUUGUCAUUCCUGCUGUGACUACUAAGGCUAGGCAAUGUUACAGCAAAAUACAGUGAAAUUUGAAUUGAACUGGACCACGCAGCCUUAUGGGAUAUGGCAGCUGUGGUUGAAACCGAGUGAAGAGGCACCGAUAGCAAAUUCGGAGUCAACUACUAGACAGAUACGGUGCUUCUUAGGUACCAAACCAGAGAGGGGCUCAAAAUCAAAGAAGAGGGUUCAACCAGAGAGUUUGCACUUUUCUCAGAAAACUAGUUGAUUUUCAGUGGAUGUCAGCGUAGACAUAAUUUUCUUGACUGGACUGUAUACUGUGUUUACAUUUAAGGUUUUAUAGUUUUAUGGAUUUUUUUUUUUUUUUACAGUUUUGCAUACUAAAAAUGUGAAAUAGAAACUGAUUGUUUGUAUGCGGUUGUCAUUGCGUAAGCUUCUGAUUGAUAAAUUCUUCAUGGUGUUCUAAGUCCAUUGCAAAUACAUUUUUUCAGCAUUAAAAA